Non-coding RNA from Macaca mulatta (Rhesus monkey), 623 nucleotides. Lineage: Eukaryota; Metazoa; Chordata; Mammalia; Primates; Cercopithecidae. The record is from RefSeq and is a predicted model, not a curated record.
CGCGCCGUCGCCGCCAUCCUGACCAAUGGGAGCGCCGGCCUGCGGGAGGCACCGCCUUCUCUCGCGACGGGCACCCCACCCGACCAAUCGUGGGCCGGAUAGAGGAGGGAGGCGGGCACACGGCGGGGGCGUGGAUUCCGCGCGGCUGGCUCGGCGGGUGUGGCGGGAGCAGGCGGCUGCUCGCUACGGCGUCCGCGGUCGCUCGGCGGCUUGCCCGGGCUGGCUGCGGCCCAGUGCUGUGGACUACUCAGGUUCGUGUCGGAGGCUGAAGAGCCGUCGCCUUGUGAAGGCCAGACCUGCCUUUGGAAGCAUUUCCUGAGGUGAAUGGGUGCGAGGUGCUCUCUGAAAAUGAGCAGCGAUCCAGUGUGACUUAAAACUCGCCAGGAGGACCCGAAAGCGUUUUAACACCAGGAAGCAGCAGCUCGCUGGGCGGAGGGCAGAGCUCGCCUGAUAGGUUUGAUUGCUUCCUCUUUAGCAAUGCGUAUCGUUCAAAAAAUUGAGGCUUUGAAAGAGGAAAUGUUUCUUCAGCGCCCAUGGAACCGGCUCGCCCCGUAAGAUUGUUUCGAGGAAUCAGUAAGAUGAUAAAGCAAUAAAUAAAAAUUAAAAGGGGUCACAAACGUGAA